RNAcentral lists this ribosomal RNA (121 nucleotides) under Hafnia paralvei. Lineage: Bacteria; Pseudomonadati; Pseudomonadota; Gammaproteobacteria; Enterobacterales; Hafniaceae. The record is from RNAcentral.
UGCCUGGCGGCGAUAGCGCGGUGGUCCCACCUGACCCCAUGCCGAACUCAGAAGUGAAACGCCGUAGCGCCGAUGGUAGUGUGGGGUCUCCCCAUGCGAGAGUAGGGAACUGCCAGGCAUU